This 29-nucleotide non-coding RNA is filed under the name Rattus norvegicus (Norway rat). Lineage: Eukaryota; Metazoa; Chordata; Mammalia; Rodentia; Muridae. The record is from RNAcentral.
UGUUAACCAGACACAUAUGUGGAUGCCUA